Molecule: long non-coding RNA, 920 nt
Organism: Diorhabda carinulata
Lineage: Eukaryota; Metazoa; Arthropoda; Insecta; Coleoptera; Chrysomelidae
Exons: 3
Source: RefSeq, a predicted model, not a curated record
UACAACCUAUACUUAUAUAGUCAUUUAAUAAUAUUAAGUUAUUGUGAAUUGUAAUAAUUAAAUCUAUGCCAUAUUUUAUUGUAUAUAUUAUAUAGAUUAUCAAUAAUUAUUUAAAACUUUCUUAGAAAUAAUAUUAAAAAUAUAUCUUGCUUUAUAUUGCUUUAUUUAUUUUAUCUUUGAAAACACUAUUUUAUUCAAUAUGGAAAUUAUAUAACAAAAUAUAUAAUAUUUAAUUACUUAUUAUUUAAUAAAUCAAAACUUUACACCUUCUCAGAUCAUUGUCCCAUUUCGAAUUCUUUGCGAAUGUCUAGACUUUGUGACCUGCGCACUGUGAAUGUUGAUGUCACAAGCUCUAAACAAUGCAUUAAUUAUUUAGAUAAUGAAACUUUGACAGUAUUACAAAUUCGGGCAGAUAUAUUUGAUGCUAAAUUUUCUAUUCGUAAAAUUCCGUGUAAUUUUGUUUUCGAUGUUGAAGUGAAAACUAUUUUCUUAUUGAUGUAGUAUAUCGAUAGAAAAUAGUUUUUAAUUUAAAAUUUUCGUGAAACGGAUUGAAAAUAAACAUUAAAAGUGAUUUGUUUUUCUUUGAUGUUUGUAUUCGUGGCGUGUUUACAAUAAUCCCAUAAAGAAUUUUCCGUGUUUUAAUAUAAUAUUGUGUUGUGAAAAUUAUGGAUAACCGGAAAAUUCUUAACUACCAAGAUGGUGAUUUCCUCAUUUGUGAAUUGUUAUAGGUUCAUUCAAUUCCUUACUUGAUGACUCCUGAGUGUGUAUUUCCUGAUUUUGAAUAUCAGAUGACAUCCCAGUACAGGUAGGAGCAGUGCUAUUACUGGCUGACCAGCCCUCCAUGUCUGCAACUUCAACAUCGUAAGGUAUAAAUUUAUUAUUAUCUUCAGUAUACUUUUCAAUAAAAGUUAUGUCUCUAC